RNAcentral lists this ribosomal RNA (659 nucleotides) under uncultured archaeon. RNAcentral's name for it is "bacterial SSU rRNA". It matches the Rfam family "Archaeal small subunit ribosomal RNA", at positions 1 to 667 of the family's 1478-position model. The record is from RNAcentral.
UUCCGGUUGAUCCUGCCGGACCUGACUGCUAUCGGAUUGAUACUAAGCCAUGCGAGUCAUUGUAGCAAUACAAGGCAUACGGCUCAGUAACGCGUAGUCAACCUAACCUAUGGACGGGAAUAACCUCGGGAAACUGAGAAUAAUGCCCGAUAGAACACUAUACCUGGAAUGGUUUGUGUUCCAAAUGAUUUAUCGCCGUAGGAUGGGACUGCGGCCUAUCAGUUUGUUGGUGAGGUAAUGGCCCACCAAGACUAUUACAGGUACGGGCUCUGAGAGGAGUAGCCCGGAGAUGGGUACUGAGACACGGACCCAGGCCCUAUGGGGCGCAGCAGGCGAGAAAACUUUGCAAUGUGCGAAAGCACGACAAGGUUAAUCCGAGUGGUUUCUGCUAAAGGAACCUUUUGUUAGUCCUAGAAACACUAACGAAUAAGGGGUGGGCAAGUUCUGGUGUCAGCCGCCGCGGUAAAACCAGCACCUCAAGUGGUCAGGAUGAUUAUUGGGCCUAAAGCAUCCGUAGCCGGCUCUGUAAGUUUUCGGUUAAAUCUGUACGCUUAACGUACAGGCUGCCGGGAAUACUGCAUAGCUAGGGAGUGGGAGAGGUAGACGGUACUCGGUAGGAAGGGGUAAAAUCCUUUGAUCUAUUGAUGACCACCUGUGGC